This 423-nucleotide ribosomal RNA is filed under the name uncultured bacterium. RNAcentral's name for it is "bacterial SSU rRNA". It matches the Rfam family "Bacterial small subunit ribosomal RNA", at positions 207 to 622 of the family's 1533-position model. The record is from RNAcentral.
AAGACCUUGCACUUUUGGAGCGGCCGAUGUCUGAUUAGCUAGUUGGUGGGGUAAUGGCCUACCAAAGCUUCGAUCAGUAGCUGGUCUGAGAGGACGGCCAGCCACACUGGGACUGAGACACGGCCCAGACUCCUACGGGAGGCAGCAGUGGGGAAUUUUGGACAAUGGGCGCAAGCCUGAUCCAGCCAUGCCGCGUGAGUGAAGAAGGCCCUCGGGUUGUAAAGCUCUUUCAGUCGAGAAGAAAAGGUUACGACUAAUAAUCGUGAUCCAUGACGGUAUCGACAGAAGAAGCACCGGCUAACUACGUGCCAGCAGCCGCGGUAAUACGUAGGGUGCGAGCGUUAAUCGGAAUUACUGGGCGUAAAGGGUGCGCAGGCGGUUUUGUAAGUCAGAUGUGAAAUCCCCGGGCUUAACCUGGGAACU